RNAcentral lists this long non-coding RNA (29871 nucleotides) under Brassica napus (rape). RNAcentral's name for it is "long non-coding RNA (BNAP_LNC016143)". The record is from RNAcentral. Lineage: Eukaryota; Viridiplantae; Streptophyta; Magnoliopsida; Brassicales; Brassicaceae.
CUGUUUUAGGUGUCGGCCAAGAGGCUAUGGCAUCACCCUUGAGUGGAUCAACCCGUAAACCUGCUGCAGAGACGACAUAACCGAGAAACAAGACCUCUGAAGCCCCAAACUCGCACUUCUGUUUGGCAAUAAAAAGGUUCUCCCUGCGUAAUGCUAGUAAGACGUCCCGCAGAUGAUCAAGAUGCUCCUCCAUCGUCAUACUAAAAAUUAGUAUAUCAUCGAAAUAGACUACCACAAAGCGUCCAAUGAACUGUAUGAGGGCUUGAUUCAUUACCCGCAUAAAGGUGCUCGGAGCAUUAGACAACCCGAAUGGCAUAACUAACCACUCAAAUAGUCCCUCCGGAGUCUUGAACGCAGUUUUCCAUUCAUCACCGGGGCGAAUCCGAAUCUACCGCUCUUAAGAUCCAAUUUGGUAAAGAAUGAAGCUUUUCCUAUCUGAUCCAAAAGGUUAUCAAGACGUGGUAUCGGGAAUCUAUACCGCGUUGUGAUUUUGUUAAUAGCACGGCUGUCAACUCACAUGUGCCAGGAACGGUCCUUUUUUGGUAUAAGUAACGCCGGGACCGCGCAAGGGCUCAAGCUCUCGCGCAAAUAGCCUUUCCCUAGUAAGUCCUCCACUUGUCACCUCAGUUCCUCAUGUUCUUCCGGACUCAUGCGAUAAUGGGCACGGUUUGGUAAAACAGCGUUGGGAACUAGGUCAAUAUGAUGCUGGAUAUCAUAGAGAGGAGGAAGACCGGACGGAAGCUCCUCCGGAAAUAGAUCUUCAAACUCUUUGAGAAUGGGAGUGAAUGCUGGAGGAUACGGUAGUUGUUGUGGUGGAGGAGGGGUCAUGGCGACGAGGGCAAAUAUCGGGCUGCAUGUACGUAGCUCGUCUUCAAACUGUGAUUUAGAAAUAAUUAACAAGAUUUGCUUCGAAGAGGUGUGCUGUGUGGUGCUCGAGGGUGACUUAUCCGUUUCCGGUGAUGGUAAGAGUGUUAUUUUGCGCCCUUCAAACAUAAACGAAUGAGUAUUCGUCUUGCCGUUAUGCAAAACUUCCCAAUCAUACUGCCAUGGAGGUCCCAAGAUGAGAUGAGAGACAUCCAUAGUCGCAAUAUCACAAUACAAGGUGUCCUUGUAAAAUGGCCCGAUAGAGAAAGAAACCAAGGCACGCUGAGAUACGUAUACUUCGGCGCCGGUUUGCAUCCACAGUAAACGAUAAGGGUGAGGAUGAGCCUCGGGAGUGAGCGAUAAUUUUCGAACAGCUUCUUAGGACACGACAUUUGCCGAGCGUCCUCAAUCAAUAAAAAAACGGCAAAUUUUCCCUUUGACCGUGCAGGUUGAUGUGAACAAUGACGUGCGUUGCCAGGCCUCACUAGUUUUAGGAGCAAUACAAUUCCGGCGUAUCAUGAGGCAAGUACCAGUGUCACCGUGAACCUGCUCUUCGUCGACAUCGUCAAACUGUUCUUCAUCAUCGUCAUAUAUUGGAUCGCCGAUGAUUUCUCUGUCAUUGGCAAACAAACCCCGACGACCAUUAUUAAGAGGACAAGCCGUCUGUAUGUGACCUCUUUCCCCACAUGUGAAACAACGGAGAGCGUUGGGGCGAGAAGGACGAGGCUCAGCUGCUGGCGUGACAGUUUCAGUAGGACGAGCGUUGUUUCGUUGUCCGGUAGUUGAUGUAGCUGUUGUAUCACGCCCUGUAGACGUUUUAGUGUCAUCGGUGGGGGUCGUGGUGCAUAUUCGUGAGUUUCCUUUCCACUGGUUAUUGGUCAAACGUGAUUGUUGUUCAACCAAUAAAGCUCUUUGGCGUGCUUCCGAGACCGAGCUAGGAUCAAACUGGUGUAGCAUGUUUUGUAGUUGAGGACGAAGUCCUGCGAUGAACCGAGCUACCAACUGAUCUUCUGAGUCGUGCACGUCAAUUCGUGUAAGCAUCUGAUAGAAUUCAUUAGCAUACUCCUCGACUGAUCGGGAUCCUUGACGUAUGUUAUGGAACUUUUGGAACAAUAGGCGUUCGAAAUUACACGGAAUGAAGGUUUUCCGCAUAUGUUUCUUAAGCUUGUCCCAAGAGGUGAUUUUAUCUUUUUUCCCGAUGCGUUCUGGAGAGCUUAAGUUGGCCCCACCAUGCUGCGGCGUGACCGCGAAAACGUGUUGUCACAAGAGGCACCUUCUUCUGUUCUGGAACGUCCUUGAAUUCGAUGAUUUCAUUGACGGUCACAAACCAGUCAAGUAAGUCCUCCAGCUGCGACCGUCCACUGAACUCGGGAAUCUCAAGUUUUAAACCCGAUGUCCAGCGUAAGUCAUCGUUGUUCCGGUUAUGUCGAUCGUGUUGUUGUUGACGAUGUGGACGACCAUCUCCGAAUGGGUUUUCUUCGUCGAUAUCGUCAUCUUGCUCAUCAAAAAUGGGAUUGUUGUUGCGGUGUUGCCGUUGUGGUUGAGCUACGUGGGCUGCGUUUGCGGCGAAGGCGGCUUGUACUCCGGCUUGAACUCCGGUUUGAAUUGCUUCAGCCAUCGUUCGUCUCAUAUUAUCUUGAAAACUUUCCUGAAAGUCUUCUAGGAACUGCUGCAUCUGCGUCCAUUCGUUUGGACGAGGUGCCAUUGAAACCAAAGAUCGAUAAUCACGAGUAGAAUCGCAAUUAAAAAGGUCUCUGAUACCAACUAAUGGAGCAGAAGUAUCUGUAGUAACUGAUAACGCGAAGAUAACGUUGAAUUCUGCGAAUGCCCGUUAACUAAGCCUUCUUAAAAUCUGUUGAAUUCUCAAAAAAUGCCCAGAAACUAAGGAUCAAGAGUUGUAUAACACAAAGCUCUAAGUUUUUAUUAAAUCAAAUCAAAGGUAACUAAGAAACAAUAGAAGAGAUCUUUUUAUAUAGGCUCACAGACGAGUCCUAUUUUAAGAAGUAAAAGCCAUAAGAUAAACAUGAAAAACAUGAAAGCCAAACGAUAAGGACACUUAAGAAAAAGAAAGCUUUAAAUAAAACCAAAUAGAAAUAGGAGAUGUACGCUACAUCACAAAUAUUAGAUCUUACGUGUUUAGCUUACAAAUUGUGUGGGUGGACAUGAUAUUAUGUGUUUUUCAUAGAUGAUGUUGUUGUGUGGUGUUGAAUAUUCUAAUAAGUUGGCCGAAUCAUUUUUCUAUUCGGUCUGUUUUCCAAAGAUUUUAACGGUUAGGAUAUCUUUGUUGUGUUAUUAUGGCCUAUGUCAGUGGUGAAUCUACAACCAAAAUGGGAAGGGCAUCUUCCCCUAUAGAUUUUACCAAAAAAUGAAUUUUAUUUAGUAUUUGUAAUGGACUUUGGAACUUUCCACUGGUUAUUGGUCAAACGUGAUUGUUGUUCAACCAAUAAAGCUCUUUGGCGUGCUUCCGAGACCGAGCUAGGAUCAAACUGGUGUAGCAUGUUUUGUAGUUGAGGACGAAGUCCUGCUAUGAACCGAGCUACCAACUGAUCUUCUGAGUCGUGCACGUCAAUUCGUGUAAGCAUCUGAUAGAAUUCAUUAGCAUACUCCUCGACUGAUCGGGAUCCUUGACGUAUGUUAUGGAACUUUUGGAACAAUAGGCGUUCGAAAUUACACGGAAUGAAGGUUUUCCGCAUAUGUUUCUUAAGCUUGUCCCAAGAGGUGAUUUUAUCUUUUUUCCCGAUGCGUUCUGGAGAGCUUAAGUUGGCCCCACCAUGCUGCGGCGUGACCGCGAAAACGUGUUGUCACAAGAGGCACCUUCUUCUGUUCUGGAACGUCCUUGAAUUCGAUGAUUUCAUUGACGGUCACAAACCAGUCAAGUAAGUCCUCCAGCUGCGACCGUCCACUGAACUCGGGAAUCUCAAGUUUUAAACCCGAUGUCCAGCGUAAGUCAUCGUUGUUCCGGUUAUGUCGAUCGUGUUGUUGUUGACGAUGUGGACGACCAUCUCCGAAUGGGUUUUCUUCGUCGAUAUCGUCAUCUUGCUCAUCAAAAAUGGGAUUGUUGUUGCGGUGUUGCCGUUGUGGUUGAGCUACGUGGGCUGCGUUUGCGGCGAAGGCGGCUUGUACUCCGGCUUGAACUCCGGUUUGAAUUGCUUCAGCCAUCGUUCGUCUCAUAUUAUCUUGAAAACUUUCCUGAAAGUCUUCUAGGAACUGCUGCAUCUGCGUCCAUUCGUUUGGACGAGGUGCCAUUGAAACCAAAGAUCGAUAAUCACGAGUAGAAUCGCAAUUAAAAAGGUCUCUGAUACCAACUAAUGGAGCAGAAGUAUCUGUAGUAACUGAUAACGCGAAGAUAACGUUGAAUUCUGCGAAUGCCCGUUAACUAAGCCUUCUUAAAAUCUGUUGAAUUCUCAAAAAAUGCCCAGAAACUAAGGAUCAAGAGUUGUAUAACACAAAGCUCUAAGUUUUUAUUAAAUCAAAUCAAAGGUAACUAAGAAACAAUAGAAGAGAUCUUUUUAUAUAGGCUCACAGACGAGUCCUAUUUUAAGAAGUAAAAGCCAUAAGAUAAACAUGAAAAACAUGAAAGCCAAACGAUAAGGACACUUAAGAAAAAGAAAGCUUUAAAUAAAACCAAAUAGAAAUAGGAGAUGUACGCUACAUCACAAAUAUUAGAUCUUACGUGUUUAGCUUACAAAUUGUGUGGGUGGACAUGAUAUUAUGUGUUUUUCAUAGAUGAUGUUGUUGUGUGGUGUUGAAUAUUCUAAUAAGUUGGCCGAAUCAUUUUUCUAUUCGGUCUGUUUUCCAAAGAUUUUAACGGUUAGGAUAUCUUUGUUGUGUUAUUAUGGCCUAUGUCAGUGGUGAAUCUACAACCAAAAUGGGAAGGGCAUCUUCCCCUAUAGAUUUUACCAAAAAAUGAAUUUUAUUUAGUAUUUGUAAUGGACUUUGGAAUAAUUAAUUAAAUAUGUCCUCCUUACAAUCUCAAACAUGGAGUUUAAUGCUCCUCUUUUUUUUCUUUGAAAAUUUACCUCAUAUGAUAAAACUUUCUAGAUCCACCAUUGUGGGUAAUUGUGAAUAUUGUAUUCUUAUGUGGAUCCAUUAUGGAUUUUUUUUUUCAUUUUAUGCUUGUUUAUUUUUGUUAAUUGUGGAGUUAUUUUGACUGAUAUCACGGGAAAGUUAUGGUUUUUUAUUUGAUAGGGUGUUACGUUAUUAGUACUACGAUUGUAAGGGAGUUAUUUGAUUGUUUAUUUGAUCAUUGACAAUGUUUUGUAUUCUCUCGACAUAUGUGUAAAUUCUAGCUUGGUAUGGGUUGAAUCAAAUUUAUAAUUGGACACUAUAAUGACGAACAUGUAAAGAAGACUGUUGUUCUUUGAAGUUUAAAAUAAUAUUAAGUUAAUUGCAAAAAAUGAAAAUGCAUCUUUGAUUGUUGGAGGUGGUGCUGCAUUUGUUUUGCCUUUGACUGUUGGUAGGCCGUUGUUGUUCGUUUGGGACUCAUGUUCCUUUUAAAACAAUUUAGUUACACUCUUAGGUGCUUAUUGUUUGCCAUGAACUAUUGAAGUAGCAUAAUAUCAUUUUGUAUGACUAAUUGCUAUUUUGAUUGUUGAUUGUUGAUUGUUUAGUGGUUGUAGACAGACCUAAUGUUGAUGGAGGUUGUCGAAAACUUCAGAGUAAACGAUAUUUAUUACACCAAGCUCAGUGUUGAGUGUGGAGCUGUGUGAUAACCUGAAACAUUUAUUUGUGCGUGUAAAUGUGUAUUGUGUAUAUGGUUGUGGCAUUUCCGAUGAGGAGGAAAGGGUGAGUAACGGAAGCACGACAAACUUUUCAUGAUACGUGUAAGCUGUUCGGAUCGUUGGAAAAACAUAAUGUUUUUGCGUGCUAACUUUCGCAAAUCAUCUACAUAGUGAAACGCUCAAUUAAUUGUAAUCGUAGUGAUUACCAUUACAAUCAAUUCUACACAACGUGGUGGUUGAUCUAUAAACUCUCCAACGUUUGACCUUUACGUAAAGUUCUUAUUGUAGUGUUGGUCUGGUUGACUGAAUUUCGUUCAAUCAUAUUUUUCUAACAUCAGUACCUGCGUCGUAAUGUAUGUAAACAACAAACAGUGAAGUUCUUGUAGUGUAUCCGUAAGAAGCUAGUACGCAGUAUUUAGUUACCUUGUUCUUGUUUUUCCUAGGGGGAUAUAGCGGCGGAUUUAGAAGUCGAUCCUCUACCUUGUCUGACUUUGAGUUCAUCAUAUUGGGCCUUGCUUUGUUCUCCUUCGCGAAUACAUGCUCUCUUCAUUAUUGAUUAAGAAAAUAAAAAUCAUUUGUAAAGAAAUUUCUAAAAAGAAUUUUAGUAAAGCAUUGAAGAGUAUUCUCAACUUUUUUUUCAAUAGAUCUCUGGAUCUCAACGAAUCCAGAAAGACAUUGAUCCUUAGGUAUUAUAAAACUAAAUAAGACUUUUUUGCAUAAAUCUAGCUUCAGCUAUGUCAUAUUGUAAUGUAUUCAAUCAUACCCAUCAGAUCGCUCAUCGGUGAAUAUAGUUGUUGAGAUGAAGAAAGUGUAAGUUCUCUUGAAGCUCCUCUGAAGUGUCUUUUGCAGUUUGUCGGCAUCAGCUAUGCCUUCAUCUUCUUUCCCUGAAGAAAAGAAUCCAAUGCCUUUACAUGUAUGAUCCAUGAAAGGCAAAUUAAUGUUAUACGUGUACAUGUCUAUGUUUACUUCAACUGUUAUAUUCCUACACUAUAUUACAAAUCAUUAAUGCUUUUAUCAUCAAAUUAUACAUAAUGUCAUUUUACACACCAAAUAAUAAUUUACAUCUACUUGAUAUUUGGUACAAGUGUUUGACAGACGGACGUGCACAUACGCUAUAUUUUUAGGCACAUAGAAGUUGGAGUAAGACAUAAAUUUGUGAUGAAACUUAUGCACUUUCCUCGGAGGAGAUUGAAUUUUUAUCUUCAGGUACAGAUGGAGGCAUAGGAGAUGCAGAUAAAUGCAAAAGAUACUUAGGAGGAGCCUCAAGAGCACUUAAGCUUCCCUCCAUCAUUUCAACAACUCUGUUCAUCGAUGGGCGAUCUGAUGGGCAUGCUUGAAUACAUGACAAUCCAACAAGAAUCAUCUUCCUUGCAAACUCGUCAUCUUCGUCUUCUGUUAUCUGAUCUUCUAGAAACCUUUUACAAUCUCCCUUUUCAAGACUUUUAUAGAUCCAAUCUGGGAAAUACAUUGAACUACUGUUGUUGUCUGAUACAGAGUUCCUAUUUCUUGCUCCCAUCAUUUCAAGUACCAACAUUCCAUAACUAUACACAUCUGACUUGUGAGAGACUCUCCCGUAGAUUCUUGAAAACACUUCGGGUGCGAUGUACCCGAUGGUCCCUCUUGUCUCUGACAUCCACAAGAUACUUUCUUGACUCCCACAGAGCCUGGCGAGUCCAAAAUCAGAAAUCUUGGGACAGAGAUCUUUUCCCAACAGUAUGUUCUGUGGUUUUAUGUCGAAAUGAACAAUCCUUGUCUUGCAAGCAUAGUGCAAGUACUGAAGGCCUCUUGCAACUCCGAGUGCAAUAUCAUACAUCUUUCCCAUGUCAAUGCGCAGUGAGGGCUGGCUCGUUAUGAACUUAUCGAGUGAACCAUUCUCUACAAAUUCAUAUAUAAUUGCUCUUUUGGACCCUUCAUAGCAGAAGCCUAGCAGAGAAACAAUAUGGAUAUAGGAUGUUCUGCUCAUACUCGCCACUUCGUUAAUGAAAUCUUCACCAUUCGUAUUAAUUUUGUUUUGAGAAAUAUAUUCCGUAGAAUCACUACAAGAAAACACGGACAAUACCGACGGAAAAACCGACCGAAAAAAUCUGUCAGGAUUUUCCAACGGAAUUCCGACGAAAACUUGUCGGAAAUCUACUUCGGCAAAUUCGUCGGAACUUUUCAUAUACAAUUCCAUAUCCCCCUCUCCCGAUUUCUUGAGCGAACGAGUUUGUGAUUUCCUUCACCUCAGCGUAGUUAUAUCGUUUCAGCGGUAUAAGUUCCUCAAAAUUCUCUAUUCUUGGAUGUUCUAAUGCUUCUAUCUUGUUCAGAAAGUAUAUGAGCAUUGAUAGAAUCAAUAAUGUCAAACAUAUAAUGAGGAUUAACACUGCACAUGAAACUGACUAUUGUUAAGUAAAUUUUGUAUUGGAAAGAAUAAAAACAAAAAUUUAUAUUGCUAGAAAACUAACCUCUAGAACCUGUCAAGGGAUAAUUAAAGCUAGUUGGAUCAGCUCCAGCCGAAGACUUUGGGAGUUCACCAGAACUUGUUUUCAUGCAUUUGAAUCCAAGUAAAGAACCGGAGAACUCCUUUAUCCUGUUAGGAUAAAAAGAAAAGUCUUCUUUGCAGCAAAACUGAUUUGCAAACUUGUCGAAACUGCAAAACCCACCGGUUUUUAAACAAUGUUUACAUGGUCUGUCGUUGAUCUUCAGCUUCACUUCGAAUCCUUCUCUCAAUACAUUUCCCAAAUUCCUGGCUUCUUUCUCAGGUAUGAAACCUGCAGGAACAAUAACAUUGGAGAUUGUUCGACAAGACUGGUAGUAAUGUUCAUCGUGAUACACUGAACCAGUCCCUCCAUUUGAACAAGUGAAGUUCUCAAGGUAAUGAAAGCGAGGGUCACAGUUAGAGAAAACGAUGAGGUUCUUGUAAUUUGGGGAUCGCUGAAAGAUUUUAGGAGGAGAGAUUGUGUUGCCCUCCCCCCAUCCUCUUUCUUUCUCUCUCGAGAAAGAGAAAGUAGAGUAUAAAGGAGUAAAUGAUAGAGAAGAGCAGAAGGAAGGUGAAUAAUCUUGUCUUACAAGUUUAAGAGUUUUGAAUGUGUUGUCUAUGUGAAGAACAUUGAAAAAGAUGUUGGAGAUAUUUAUAGAGGUUUUGUUAGAAACUCUGUCGCAGCUAAGCUUCAAUAAUGGAUGGCCACAAGGCUCACCACGAUUCUCUCCCCAGAAGGGGAAUGUUGCGCUGAGGUUUCCACACUCAAAAACAGAGUCGCAUGACAAGAAAGCUUGGUUGCUUAGUGCACAAGGAAAAUUAUGAAACAGGAACAUGAACAAAGUUACAAAACAACACCCUAGUGCUGGAGUAUCCAUCAUUUUGUUUAAAGUAUAAUUCCUUCUGUUUCUUGGAGAAAUGAGGAAGAGUAACAGUAAAAGAAAAUUCUUCAGAAGGAAACACAGCUUAAUUAAUAUCAUAGGAAGAGUUAGGUGAUGGCCAUUAAGGCUUCACCCUCUACAAGGCCUUGCUUUGCUAGACAAAGGUCCUCUGUUUAUUAAACAAAGAAAUGAAAGAAAGGUCUCUUUUUCACACUUUGGUGAGAACACUGGACUUCAGACUAGUCUCCGUUAACCCUACAGAUACGAAUCCUGGAUAAGGACUUUUUGUAAGCUCAGAACCAAUUAGUCUGAAUGGAUUAUCGAGUUUGUUGCUAGUUGAUAACAUUAAAUUUCAAUUAAAUGCAAAGAGAUCAGAUUUCAUUUACUUGUUAAACAGUAAGAACCGGACGAGUCUUUCCAUCUCCAGCAAGAAAGAUAUAAGCAUUUUGUUAAUUUCAAUGAAGUAAACAUUUGGAUUAAAAUUCAGUUAAGACAUACAAUCUUGAAAUGCAAAUUUGCAUUUUGAUUUGAAGUCUUUAUGUUUGUGUCUACUAAAUAAACUUAUUCUUUUUCUUUAAUAAAGAAAGGGAAUUAAGUUUAAAGAAAAUGUAAAAUAAAGAUUUACAAAUACAAAAUGCAUGGGAGACUUGGAUAUGUUGAAAGGCCAAGUCAAGAGUGAAAGUGACAAAUAAACUCGGAGAGUAUAUAUUUUAUACAUUGUUAGCAUUCACCAAUAAUAUUUAGAAGCCUUUCAUUUACUAGUCCUUGUGGAGAUUCGUGUUAACGUAUAAGAAAGACUCAAUCAUUGAACCCACUACUCCAUUACUUUGGAUAUUCCUUGUAAAGAGUCAUUUGAAGCUUUCGGUUUACUAAGACUUCUGAUCCAUGCUUCUUCCAAUACUUUUGAGCUGCGGGCCAUGGUUUCUAAAACCAAUUUAAAUAGGAUCUGUAUCCAAUUUCAUGAAAAAACAAAUGCCUGUUGAAAACUUUGGGAGACGAGAAACUCGUGUAAUCAAAAUUUGUAAUAACAUAAUUUUUGGGGAACCAUAGUUUCUGUGAUAAUCACACAAACACAACAAAUCGAAAAGACAGAAAAAUGUGUGAAGAGUUUUUAUUGAUUUUAGACUGAAUUUUAUGAAAAGCUACCUAAGUACCCCUUUUCAAAGAUCAAGCCAAACAUAGUUCGUUUUAUACAAGAGAUUGAAAUGCUUUCGCAAAAUUCGUCAAAUAACCAGAUACAAAGAAUAAAACAACAAAUCAUGGCAAUAUUGCGUUUAAUACUAGAUUUGCUACACUAAACCACCUAAAAACUAAGUUCUCUAAGGCUAAAUCCGGAUGCAGAACAUGUGGAGUCUAAGAAUUCAUGGUCAAUGUAUCUCUCUUUUCUCUUGUCUUGACCUCUUCUUCAUUUAGUUCUCCAAGGUUGGCCAACUUUCCGAUUUACUAUAAAUUUAGAGAAGUGGUGAGGAGGAGUGGACGGGGACGAACAGGCGAAGACUUAAGGACUAGGAGGAGAGGGAAGGACUAGUGGCGACUAGGAACGAAGGAUGAGUGGACUGAACGGGAUCAAACGGGCAAGGACGUCCGGACGAUGGCAAAUGGGCGAGCACGUGGUCAGGGCGAGCAGGUUCACUGUUGUCUCUUCUUGUCUUCCGUUGGUUGUUCCGUGUAACCCCAUUCAGUUUCUAAUGUUAUUUCGUAAAACGUCGAGUUUUUUAUAUGAAAGUUGUUUCGUAAAAACUGUAUCAUUUUGUUUUACAAAAGUUGUUUCGUAAAAUCUGGUAAAAUCUGGUAAAAUCUGUGUCGUUUUGUUUCACAAAAGUUAUUUCGUGAAAAAUGUUCCGAAGUAACUUAUACGAAAGAUGUUCUAAAUUGUGUCUAUGUUAGUUUUAUGAAAUUUUAUUUCGUAUUAAUUUUGUUUUGAGAAAUAUAUUCCGUAGAAUCACUACAAGAAAACACGGACAAUACCGACGGAAAAACCGACCGAAAAAAUCUGUCAGGAUUUUCCAACGGAAUUCCGACGAAAACUUGUCGGAAAUCUACUUCGGCAAAUUCGUCGGAACUUUGUCGGAAAAUCCUGACAGAAUACUUUCGUCGGUAUUUGGUCAUACGAUCCCGACAGAAAAACGACAAAAAUCUGACAAAAAUAUGACCGUUGCAAAAAAUUGACACAUACCGACAAAAUACCGUCGGAUUGAACAGCCGUUUCACUUCCCGACGGAAUACCGACGAAUUUGCAGCCGUUGCACUUCCCGACGAAAUACCGACGAAUUAUGUAGCCGUUAGUAUCCGUUUAAAUUACCGACGGAACACCGACGGGUUCUGGACGUUAAUUUAGCCGUUAUCAUUCCCGACGGAAUACCGACGAAUAUUUUCCGUCGGGAAGUUUUCCAGAUUCAUUAUAAAUACGACCUCUCCUUCAUUCAUUCAAAUCACAACAAAACAAUAUAAAUUAUGGGUACUCCUUAUAAUUUCCGUUCUUGGUUAGAUCAACCUCAUAUGGAUCCAAAUACAAAUUUACUUACGGAGGAAUACGCACGUGGUAUUCAAGAAUUCAUGGGGGUGGUUCAAAGUCAACCGGAAGCAAGAACAAGUAAGUAUUUAUUAUGUCCAUGUUCUACUUGUAAGAAUAAUAUCCGUGUCAAAAAAAUGGAAGUAUGGAGUCAUUUAUAUUUGAAAGGAUUUACACGUGGUUAUAAGAUUUGGUAUCUUCAUGGAGAAAGAUUUGAGUAUGGUAGUAGUAGCGAACCUCAAACUGCCGAUAGGUUAGAUGAACCUACCACAAAUGUAGAUUUUGGGGUAGGGACUGUUCAGAUGGUAUAUGAUGCAUAUGGAGAAAAUUUACCGUCGGGUGAAGAGGAAGGAGAUAGACAAGAACAACCCAAUUUAGAAAAUUUCCCAUGUGAAGAGGAAGGAGAACGAGAACAACCCAAUCUAGAAGCGAGAAGAUUUUUUGAAAUGUUAGAUGCAGCUAAGCAGCCAUUGUAUCAAGGAUGUAAAGAUGGGCAUUCACAUUUAUCAUCCGCAAGUCGAUUGAUGGCGCUAAAGACUGACUAUAAUUUGGCUGAAGAAUGUGUGGAUGCGAUUGCAGAUUUUGUUAGAGAUGUUCUACCUGAAGAUAAUCUUGCACCUGGCUCAUAUUAUGAGGUACAAAAAUUGGUCGCUGGUCUUGGCUUACCAUAUCAGGUGAUAGAUGUAUGCAUCGAUAACUGCAUGAUUUACUGGAGAGCAGAUGAGAACAGGGAGAAUUGUAAAUUCUGUCGGAAACCUCGUUAUCAGGAUACAAGUGGAAGAGUUCCGGUGCCAUACAAACGAAUGUGGUAGUUGCCGUUGACUGAAAGAUUAAAGAGGUUAUAUCAGUCUGAACGAACAACAGAACCAAUGAGAUGGCAUGCAAAGCACUUAACAAAUUGUGAGAUAACACAUCCUUCCGAUGCAGAGGCGUGGAAGCAUUUUUUUUUUUUUUUGAAACACAAUUAUAAUACGUUUCUAAAUAAUAAAAAAGCUUACUAAUGUUUUUUUUUCGUAGGGAUGAACCACCUCCUCUUAUAGUUAGACGUCGUUUUCGCCGGGGUACUUCUUCAGUCACUCAGAGUACGUCACCCGCUAGUAGCCCAGUUGCAGCUACCACUCCUCCAGCAGCCCCCACCCCUCCAGCAGCCCGCACCCCCCCUUCGGUAGCUUCCGGCCCUUCUCAAAAUUCAAGAGGAGGAGGAUUGCCUACUACGAUGACUGUUGCGGAGUUAGUUAGGCAACCUGGCCGAGAAUCGCUUCAGCGCCUUGAUCCAAAUUAUCUUAUUGUCCCAAACACCUCUGGAUGGACCACGCAUGGGAGGCUAUCAUGUCCUUAUUGCCAAGACAACACAGAUGCUUUCCAACUAAAAAAUGGUCGGAAAACGUGUUGGUUUGACUGUCACAGGAGAUUUCUACCACACGAUCAUCCAUAUCGUAAGAGUAAGACAUUGUUUACAAAGAACAAGAGGGUGUUUGACAGUCCACCUGAAGAAGUAAGUGGCAAAAAGUUGAAGGAACAAUUAAGAGAUUGAAGUUAUAGAUUUUGGAUUUCUGUAAUUUGUAUAAAGCAUUUUUUUUAAUAAAAUGUUUUUAAUUAUAUACAAAUCGUUUUUAUUUAUAAAAAAUCAGCAUAUGGUAUAAAAAAUAUUUUUUUCAUUAUAAAAAUUCGUUAAAUUAAUUAAAAAACACAUUUUAAUUAUUAUAAAAAUAUUUUAAUUAUAAAACGUUUCUAAAUAAUAAAAAAGCUUACUAAUGUUUUUUUUUCGUAGGGAUGAACCACCUCCAAAAAAAUGGAAGUAUGGAGUCAUUUAUAUUUGAAAGGAUUUACACGUGGUUAUAAGAUUUGGUAUCUUCAUGGAGAAAGAUUUGAGUAUGGUAGUAGUAGCGAACCUCAAACUGCCGAUAGGUUAGAUGAACCUACCACGGAUGUAGAUUUUGGGAUAGGGACUGUUCAGAUGGUAUAUGAUGCAUAUGGAGAAAAUUUACCGUCGGGUGAAGAGGAAGGAGAUAGACAAGAACAACCCAAUGUAGAAAAUUUCCCAUGUGAAGAGGAAGGCGAACGAGAACAACCCAAUCUAGAAGCCAGAAGAUUUUUUGAAAUGUUAGAUGCAGCUAAGCAGCCAUUGUAUCAAGGAUGUAAAGAUGGGCAUUCACCUUUAUCAUCCGCAAGUCGAUUGAUGGCGCUAAAGACUGACUAUAAUUUGGCUGAAGAAUGUGUGGAUGCGAUUGCAGAUUUUGUUAAAGAUGUUCUUCCUGAAGAUAAUCUUGCACCUGGCUCAUAUUAUGAGGUACAAAAAUUGGUCGCUGGUCUUGGCUUACCAUAUCAGGUGAUAGAUGUAUGCAUCGAUAACUGCAUGAUUUACUGGAGAGCAGAUGAGAACAGGGAGAGAUGUAAAUUCUGUCGGAAACCUCGUUAUCAGGAUACGACUGGAAGAGUUCCGGUGCCAUACAAACGAAUGUGGUAUUUGCCGUUGACUGAAAGAUUAAAGAGGUUAUAUCAGUCUGAACGAACAGCAGAACCAAUGAGAUGGCAUGCAGAGCACUUAACAAAUGGUGAGAUAACACAUCCUUCCGAUGCAGAGGCGUGGAAGCAUUUUCAAUCAACAUAUCCAGAAUUUGCAUCUGAGGUAAGAAAUGUGUAUCUUGCAUUAUGCACAGAUGGUUUCAGCCCAUUUGGAAAGCAUGGAAGACAAUAUUCAUUGUGGCCGGUAAUCUUGACACCUUACAACUUACCACCACAUUUGUGUAUGCGACGAUUUUUUUUUAAUUAAAAAAGGAAUACCGACGGAUACAGUUAUCCGUCGGAAUUUCUACAUAUUUCCGACGAAUAAAAUCCAUCGGUAUUUUCUAGAUAUUCCGACGGAAUAAAGUCGUCGGUUUUAUCUUCAGUUACCGACGGACUUUCUUCGUCGGUAUUUUCUGAAUAUUCCGAUGAACUCCCUUUGUCGGUAUUUUCUGAAAAUUCCGACGAAUUCUCUUUGUCGGUAUUCUCUAUAAAUACCGACGGAUAUGUGUCGUCGGAAAUUUUAGAAAAAAACCGACGGAAUAUGUUCGUCGGUAUUUGCCGACGAAAUAUGUUCGUCGGUAUUUACCGACGAAUUUCCGACGAAUAUCUGUAUACCGACGAGAUGAUACCGACGGACAUUUUUCGUCGGGAUUUCAUCGGUAUGCGACUUUCCCGACGAGAUUAUAAUGGAUUUGUCCAUCGGUAUCGCGCAGUUUUUUUGUAGUGAAUGUUCUACAUAAAAUAAGGUUCUCAUUAAAUCCUUUUGAAAGAAUGUUUUCCGAAUAAUCCUUGCUCGCGCGUAAAUUAUUUUAUACUCUUUCCGGAGAGAGUUAUACGAAGCUUAUUCUGAUUUAUCGUUAUUUAAACUGAAGCCUAUUCUGAUAUAUCGUUAUUUAAACUGGUGCAGCGUAUGUAGAAUUAUUCUCUAAACAUUUCCGGAUCGGUUACAUGAACAACACAUUUUGCUAUGUUUUAAGUGAUCUCAGACGUUGAUAUUUCUAUGACCGAUAUUUACCCCAACAAUUAGCCCUUCAUUUGUUAGAGUUACGUGUGAUUUUGACAAGGUUAUGAUAAGUGUUUAAGCAUGAUCAAAAUUGCUAUGUGAGUCACAGUUCAUAUGUAAACAGUCUACAAAGGUAAAAUCAUAAGUUUCUAAUUGCAAAGAGUAGAGUUGAUGCGUAUCUAUCAUAUUACCGUCUCUUUUCUGUCUCGGCUUGUUUAUAUUCUCAUUCUAGGUCUCAUCUUUCCAUCUUUCCGUAGACUUGUAUCUAUUAUAGGAGAUAUAUGUCAUUAGGGUCAUAAUUGUAAUUAGUCAAUACCUAAUCACUUAUGUACUCUGUAUAAAUACUGUACUUGUACAUAUUAAUAAGGUAUUCAGCCUCCAUUUAUACAUGGUAUCAGAGCUCACGAUACCUUGAUUUUUUUUUCCGCCGUUCUUCACACCCUCUUCUUCUUCUUCUCUUCUCUUCAUCCUCUGUUUCUCUUAACUCUCUGUUUCACAUCAUCUCUCUCUCAUCAAUCAUGUCGAACGAAUCUCCUGCUUCAUCCACUGAGACGAUCAUUGUCUCCAACACUCGUACGUUGCUCAACGUUAAUAUGGCUAACAUCACAAAGGUGACAUCUACAAACUUCAUUAUGUGGAAGCGUCAAGUAAACUCUCUCCUUGACGGCUAUGGUCUAGCGGGUCAUGUCGAAGGAUCCAUUGAGAUCCCACCACCGACUCUUACGGUUGAUGGUCAAGUCACUAUCAACAAUGAGUACUUGCUGUGGAAGCGCCAAGAUAACCUCAUCUACAGCGCCUUACUUGGAGCCAUCACAACACCGGUGCAAGCGCUCCUCUCAACCACUACCACUGCUGCAGAUAUCUGGAAUACUCUCUCUGCAACCUAUGCUAAGCCGAGUCAUGGUCAUAUCCUCCAGCUGCGACAACAACUCAAACAGUGGACGAAAGGAACCAAGUCCAUUGAUGAGUAUAUGCAAGGACUCACAAAUCGCUUUGAUCAAUUGGCACUCCUUGAGAAGCCGCUGGAUCAUGAAGACAAGAUCUAGUUCAUUCUCACAGGUCUCCCAGAUGACUACAAGACAGUGGUCGAUCAGAUUGAGGGCAGAGACACCACUCCUCCCCUAACAGAGAUCCAUGAAAAGCUCAUUCAACAUGAACUGAAGCUAGCGAUGAAGUCUGAGACACUAUCUCCUCUGCCGGUUACGGCGAACGUGGCGAAUUACCGUGGUCACAACAACAACUCCAACAGCAGCCGAGGUCAUGGCAGAUCCAACAACCGUGGCUCUUACAACAACAACUGGAGCAAUCGCAGGAACAACUCCAAUAAUCAGGGUUACUCCCCGCGACCGUAUCAGGGACGUUGCCAAAUCUGUGGUAUUCAUGGCCACAGUGCUCGUACCUGUUCUCAGCUCCAACUUCAUGGAAGUUCUGGAAACUCGAACCAGUCAUCUGUGUCCUCCUAUGCUCCUUGGCAGCCUCGGGCUCAUCUUGCGUCUGCAGCGGCAUACAAUGCUAACAACUGGCUCCUACACAGCAGAGCAACACACCAUCUCACCACAGACCUCAACACCCUGGCUCUUCAUCAACCCUACAACGGUGGAGAAGAGGUCAUGACUGCUGAUGGCACUGGCAUGCCCAUCACGCACACUGGUUGGUUCAGCACUUCUUCCUACCCCUCAUCGCUCUCUUACUUUGAAUGAUGUGUUAUAUGUACCAAAUGUUACGAAAUACCUGAUCUCGGUUUAUAAAAUGUGCAAUACUAAUGGAGUUUUCUUUGAAUUCUUUCCUGCACACUUUCAGGUGAAGGAUCUCAGCACGGGGGUUCAGUUGCUUCAAGGCAGAACUAAGAAUGAGUUGUAUGAGUGGCCGAUUCAACCUUCCUCUCCAAUGUCGUUGUUUGCUUCAUCUUCGUAGAAACCUGAUCUUCUCUCUUGGCAUGCUCGACUUGGUCAUCCGGCCUUACCAGUCUUAAAGUCUUUAGUUUCGAAAUUCUCUUUACCAGUCUCAUUGUCGUCUGCAAACGAUUUGUCUUGUUCGGAUUGUUCUAUCAAUAAAAGCCAUAAGCUACCAUUUUACUCAAACACAAUUGCCUCUUAUCAUCCUCUUGAGUAUCUGUAUACAGAUGUGUGGUCGUCUCCAAUUGUGUCAAUUGAUGGCUACAAGUACUAUCUUGUCAUUGUUGAUCUGUACACUCGCUAUACCUGGCUGUAUCCACUCAAGCUGAAAUCGCAAGUCCAUGACACAUUCAUCAGAUUCAAGGUGCUGGUUGAGAACAGAUUCAAACACAAGAUAGGUACUCUAUACUCCGACAAUGGUGGUGAAUUCAUUGCCUUGCGUCAGUUUCUGUCGACUCACGGUAUUACGCAUCUUACUACUCCUCCUCAUACACCUGAGCUGAAUGGCAUAUCCACUUAUGUACUCUGUAUAAAUACUGUACUUGUACAUAUUAAUAAGGUAUUCAGCCUCCAUUUAUACAUGGUAUCAGAGCUCACGAUACCUUGAUUUUUUUUUCCGCCGUUCUUCACACCCUCUUCUUAUUUUUCUCUUCUCUUCAUCCUCUGUUUCUCUUAACUCUCUGUUUCACAUCAUCUCUCUCUCAACAAUCAUGUCCAACGAAUCUCCUGCUUCAUCCACUGAGACGAUCAUUGUCUCCAACACUCGUACGUUGCUCAACGUUAAUAUGGCUAACAUCACAAAGGUGACAUCUACAAACUUCAUUAUGUGGAAGCGUCAAGUAAACUCUCUCCUUGACGGCUAUGGUCUAGCGGGUCAUGUCGAAGGAUCCAUUGAGAUCCCACCACCGACUCUUACGGUUGAUGGUCAAGUCACUAUCAACAAUGAGUACUUGCUGUGGAAGCGCCAAGAUAACCUCAUCUACAGCGCCUUACUUGGAGCCAUCACAACACCGGUGCAAGCGCUCCUCUCAACCACUACCACUGCUGCAGAUAUCUGGAAUACUCUCUCUGCAACCUAUGCUAAGCCGAGUCAUGGUCAUAUCCUCCAGCUGCGACAACAACUCAAACAGUGGACGAAAGGAACCAAGUCCAUUGAUGAGUAUAUGCAAGGACUCACAAAUCGCUUUGAUCAAUUGGCACUCCUUGAGAAGCCGCUGGAUCAUGAAGACAAGAUCUAGUUCAUUCUCACAGGUCUCCCAGAUGACUACAAGACAGUGGUCGAUCAGAUUGAGGGCAGAGACACCACUCCUCCCCUAACAGAGAUCCAUGAAAAGCUCAUUCAACAUGAACUGAAGCUAGCGAUGAAGUCUGAGACACUAUCUCCUCUGCCGGUUACGGCGAACGUGGCGAAUUACCGUGGUCACAACAACAACUCCAACAGCAGCCGAGGUCAUGGCAGAUCCAACAACCGUGGCUCUUACAACAACAACUGGAGCAAUCGCAGGAACAACUCCAAUAAUCAGGGUUACUCCCCGCGACCGUAUCAGGGACGUUGCCAAAUCUGUGGUAUUCAUGGCCACAGUGCUCGUACCUGUUCUCAGCUCCAACUUCAUGGAAGUUCUGGAAACUCGAACCAGUCAUCUGUGUCCUCCUAUGCUCCUUGGCAGCCUCGGGCUCAUCUUGCGUCUGCAGCGGCAUACAAUGCUAACAACUGGCUCCUACACAGCAGAGCAACACACCAUCUCACCACAGACCUCAACACCCUGGCUCUUCAUCAACCCUACAACGGUGGAGAAGAGGUCAUGACUGCUGAUGGCACUGGCAUGCCCAUCACGCACACUGGUUGGUUCAGCACUUCUUCCUACCCCUCAUCGCUCUCUUACUUUGAAUGAUGUGUUAUAUGUACCAAAUGUUACGAAAUACCUGAUCUCGGUUUAUAAAAUGUGCAAUACUAAUGGAGUUUUCUUUGAAUUCUUUCCUGCACACUUUCAGGUGAAGGAUCUCAGCACGGGGGUUCAGUUGCUUCAAGGCAGAACUAAGAAUGAGUUGUAUGAGUGGCCGAUUCAACCUUCCUCUCCAAUGUCGUUGUUUGCUUCAUCUUCGUAGAAACCUGAUCUUCUCUCUUGGCAUGCUCGACUUGGUCAUCCGGCCUUACCAGUCUUAAAGUCUUUAGUUUCGAAAUUCUCUUUACCAGUCUCAUUGUCGUCUGCAAACGAUUUGUCUUGUUCGGAUUGUUCUAUCAAUAAAAGCCAUAAGCUACCAUUUUACUCAAACACAAUUUCCUCUUAUCAUCCUCUUGAGUAUCUGUAUACAGAUGUGUGGUCGUCUCCAAUUGUGUCAAUUGAUGGCUACAAGUACUAUCUUGUCAUUGUUGAUCUGUACACUCGCUAUACCUGGCUGUAUCCACUCAAGCUGAAAUCGCAAGUCCAUGACACAUUCAUCAGAUUCAAGGCGCUGGUUGAGAACAGAUUCAAACACAAGAUAGGUACUCUAUACUCCGACAAUGGUGGUGAAUUCAUUGCCUUGCGUCAGUUUCUGUCGACUCACGGUAUUACGCAUCUUACUACUCCUCCUCAUACACCUGAGCUGAAUGGCAUAUCCGAACGGAAGCAUCGACAUGUGGUAGAGACUGGUCUUACCCUACUUGGUCAAGCUUCAAUGCCAAAGACGUACUGGAGCUACGCCUUCGCUACUGCUGUUUAUCUCUUAAAUAGGAUGAUAACUCCAGUUCUUGGCAAUGUCUCUCCCUAUCAGAAGUUAUUUGGUCAGCCGCCUAACCACCACAAGCUACGUGUGUUUGGAUCAGAAUGCUUCCCUUGGCUGCGCCCUUAUACCAAACACAAACUGGAACCCCGUUCAGCAUCUUGCGUGUUCAUUGGAUACUCUCUGACGCAAAGUGCGUAUCUCUGUCUUCAUCGCGAAUCUGGUCGUAUCUACACGUCGCGACAUGUAGUCUUCAAUGAGAAAAGGUUUCCGUUUGCAUCUCCUGUCUCAGGUACGACUGCUUCAGCUGAUACUUCAGAUCAGAGAACUGGGUUUGCUCCAACGACAAUGGUACCGGUACGGCCACUCAUCAACACUUCGCCCUCGUGCUCUGCUCCUCACCAACACAGUCCGUCUGCAACUCCUGUACCAGACGCGAUUCCGUCUCCGAUAUCACCACAACAACAACACCACACUCCUCCGGUGCUUCAGCCGCAACAAGCUCCUGAACCUCACCCACAAACAUCAUCACAUACCCAACCUACCGCAUCCCUUAAUUCCCAGACCUCACCGAGCCAAGGCUCUUCUACCUCACCCUCUACAUCCUCUUCCCCUCCAUCUCCAACCCCACUUCCACCAGCUCCCACUCCACAACCAAACCCGAAUCUCCAUACUAUGAAAACUCGUUCAAAGAAUAACAUUUCAAAGCCUAAAAACAAAACCUCUCUCACUGCCACCAUACCAAAACUCCGACCAAAAAUUCCCAAAACCGUGGCUGAAGCACUCAAGGACCCGAACUGGAGACAGGCAAUGUGUGACGAGAUCAAUGCUCAGUUACGAUAUGGCACUUCUGAACUUGUUCCACCUGAAAAGUAUCAGAAUGUCAUUGGUUGUAAGUGGGUAUUUACGCUUAAAUAUAAAGCUAACGGUGAACUUGACAGGUAUAAAGCUCGUCUGGUGGCAAAGGGUUUUCAUCAGCAACUUGGACAUGAUUUCACGGAGACGUUUAGCCCUGUUAUCAAGUCCACCACCGUCCGCUCUGUCUUCCAUGUCGCGGUCACUAAGGGUUGGCGUCUUCGUCAAAUUGACGUAAAUAAUGCUUUUCUGCAAGGAACUCUGGAAGAGGAGGUCUGUGUCACACAACCACCAGGCUUUGUUGAUCAAGAUCGACCACACUAUGUCUGUCGCUUGAAGAAAGCCCUCUAUGGGCUCAAACAAGCGCCGCGCGCAUGGUACCAGGAACUCAGGUCUUAUAUUAUGACUGCAUGGUUCUUGAACUCCACUGCAGACACCUCUCUCUUCACAUAUCACCGCGGCUCUGACAUUAUCUAUGUUCUGGUAUAUGUUGAUGAUAUGGUAAUUACGGGCAACAACAAUCGUGUCAUUGAUGCGUUCAUUGCGGCCAUUUCAACUUGGUUCUCACUUAAAGAUCUUGGUGAGCUUAGCUACUUUCUCGGCAUAGAGGCAACCAGGACCUCCAAAGGCUUGCACUUGAUACAGAAGAAAUAUGUGCUCGAUCUGCUCACUCGCACGAACAUGAUAGAUGCGCGCCCGGUCUCCACUCCGAUGUCUCCAACGCCCAAGUUGUCUCUAAAUUCAGGAACCCCGAUGGAUAAUCCCAGAGAUGCCAGUGAUAUACUGUGAUAAUGUUGGUGCCACCUACCUUGCUGCCAAUCCUGUAUUUCACUCGAAGAUGAAGCAUAUAGCCCUUGAUUUUCACUUUAUCCGGCACCAUGUGCAAUCUGGAGCGCUACGAGUCUCCCACCUCUCGACUAAGGACCAGUUGGCUGAUGCUCUCACUAAACCACUUCCUCGACCGCGCUUCCAAGAACUUUUGUGCAAGAUUGGAAUCACUCAUGUUACUCCAUCUUGAGGGGGUGUAUAGGAGAUAUAUGUCAUUAGGGUCAUAACUGUAAUUAGUCAAUACCUAAUCACUUAUGUACUCUGUAUAAAUACUGUACUUGUACAUAUUAAUAAGAUAUUCAACCUCCAUUUAUACAUCUAUCAUCUUUCUAUUUUUCUCUUUAUUAUCUCCAAUAUCCAAGUCUAUACUUUUCGGAAAUCUUCAUUUUCCCCUUUUUUUUUCCCUUAUUCCUCUCAAAGCAAGUAAACCUUCAUUGAUUUGGGCUUUCAUUUCAAAAUGUUUUAUGAUUUAGGUCUUUUAAGUAUUUCCUGAAAAUGUCGUCGUUUCACUCCACGGUUAUUUUGGUGUCGUUGGAUUACGAAAUGAUGAAAAUAAUUUUUUUGUCGAAAAACUAUUUGUUGUUUACGUUUAACCAUUUUUAUUCAACCUUUUGGCUAGUUUUACGUAAUUUUUUUCUCAUUGUUUGUAAUAUUUUUUACUGGCAACUUUGUUACGAAGAGCGUUAAAGACACGAAUCAGGAGAAGACACUAUGAAUGGAGAAGUGUGUGACGAUUCUAGGGAGAGUGGGCGACGACUCUACAGGAGAGUGGGCGAUGACUCGAAAUGGGUGAGGAGUAAAGUGGGCGACGACUCUACGGGAGAGUGGACGAUGACUCAUUGCUCGUUGUUAAAUUAUUUAAAAGUGUCUGUCUAACUAAAACGUUUUUUAUAUAAUUAAUUAAUUAUUCAAUACAUUUAAAAAAAACUUGUUUCUCAUUUUGUAAAUUUUAAAACUUUUUUAGAUAAUGUUUUGUUAAAAUUGAUUUUAGAAAAAUUUUAAAUAGUUUUUGGAUUAUUUUUUCUGUUAACAAAGUUUAUUUUUAAUUUUAUAUGGCAGGAAAUGCAGGAAACAUUCCCAAGGCGCUCGACAACAACGUCCCACCCAAGUUGGUGUGAAUACUGUAUCAGCGUCUGGAUUUCUUGUAUCUUCUCCCGCACCAAAUUUUCAAACCUUGGUCUCUUGGGAAGUGCCAAUUACCAUGAGCGUCUCGGAGUUAGUUCAACAACCUAGACGAAAACUUCUGACGAGACUCCAUCCUCAUGAGCGGACGGUGCGAUGUGGUAAAUUUUUCUUUAUUUAAACUACACAUUCCUUUAAUUCUUUUUCUUAGGUUCAAUUACUCAAGCAACUGAAUUAGCGAAAGUAUUUUGAAGAUGAUGUAUAUAAUGCUGAAACACGCUUAUCUGACAUACAUGGACAAGACAAGGGAUGAUCGAUGUUAAUUCUUCUAAUUGUUUGAUUCAUGAUUAUUGACUCUUAACAGUUUUUAACUAAUAUUAUUUUUAUUUCUAUUUUAAUAAGAGUUCACUUGGAAACUGUAGCCCAUGACUCGAUCAGGUGGAAAAUGCAUUCCACCAUCAUGCACAAAAAGCAUGACAACUAUCAAAUCAAUGAGUAGAAACAGAAGCGGGUUGUCGGCAAGACGCCAAAGUCAAUCAACCCAAUUGUUUGGGAGGGAUUGAAGGAGUAUUUGGCAUUAACGAAUGCACAUGCUACUUUCUAGACCAACUCAGGUAACCGGCGUAGCGACCAUCGCUUGGUCAGGUUAGGUUGUGGAGCACAAUCCUUUUUUUUUAUCCAUGUCAGCUUUGUAUACUGCUGACCUCGAACUUGUUCAAGAGCUCAAGAAGAAAAUGUACGAAUGCGUUGGAGAAGAAAAAUGAAGCAAAUACGGCUCAUAAUGUGGGACACGCCCGUCAAAUCAUAGAGGACAACAAAUUCAUGCAAGCGAUGCGUCGUUGCAAGUUUGGCGACUUUCGGUUUUUUUUUUCAAACUCUUAAAUAUUGGUUUCUUGUUAAAAAUAUUAAAGUAUUUGGUUUAAUAUUUUCGAAUUAUAAAUAUUAAAUAUUUGAAUUUUAAAAAUUAUGUCGGGAAUUCGUUGGGAUAUUCAUCAGGAAUAAUUUCUGACAAACGUGUGAUCUCGUCGGGAGAAUUCUCGACGACCAAGAUCGUCGGAAGAAUUCUCGACGAAAUUUUUGGUUAUGAAAAAAAUUCCCAACGAACCUUUGGUCAUCAGAAAUAAUUAUUACUGAUAACUUAUCGAGAAAAACUACUCACGAGUCACGACCAAGUCGCGUUGGGAAUUCUUCUGACAGAAUUCCAACAACAUUUUCCAUGACCGAUUUUGUCGAAAAUUCUUUUGGAAAGUAGUUGUGGGGAAUUCAUUGCCGUCUUUUUAAAAAUCUCCUAAGAAUUUUUUGUCAAAUGAAAUAAAACCGAUAAAAAGUGGUUAUCGGAAAUCCGUGGAGAAAGAUAAUUCCCAAUGACUUUCCGACGAAUAUAGUCAUCGAGAAUAACUUGUUUUCUUGCAGUGUAUCUUCUGUAUGGCAUCCUCCACAGAUAUGACUAUCACAGAUUUUAAGUGGACCAUCCUUUUCUUCCAGGAUUAACUACGUGUAAGUGAGAUGACAUGCAUGAACUUGAGAAAAAGUACUUUGAUAUUAUUGAAAAAUUAUAUUUUUUUGGUAAGAUGCUAAGUAAAAUUAUAAAAUUUAGAAAACAAUUCCUGUAAAACAAUUAAAAAUAAGAAUAUAGAUCCAUAUGUAUGUGUUAACUAAUAGCGGGGAUAUAUUUAUAUAAUGUAUCUUAUUUCCGAUAACAAUUUACGAAUAAUAUGUAUUAAAGGAUCUCAUACCACGUAAGUAGUGUGAAACAUCAAAUGAUGACUACCUUAUGAAAUGAUUAAAUAAAUCUAUAGUAAAAAAAAAUCUACACAAACCGUAUAGGAUACAAAAUGAUACAUUGGUGCUCUUAUAUUUGAAUAUCUGAUGAACUAAUUAACUUAAGAUGAAAUCUGUGUUUUGUAGGUAAAAUUGUUUCUUGUUCUAUAAAGCAAUUACCACUAACAUUAUCGAAACCUUUUUGUUAAGUUAUGUAGUCUGUUUUCUUAUAGGGAUAAAAAAUUAAAACCUAAUUGCCAUAAAAAUAACCAAGAAGAAGCAACGAUAUAGAAAUUACAUAUAUAUCCAUAAAUCAGACAUUUGACAAUCCGAUAGAAAAUGUCUCAGACAGAAAUCCAAAGAGGAUAAAAACAGGCAAUUGGAAGUGAAAUGAGUAUAGAUUAUUAUAUGAUUAUUUUAGAAAGGAAAUUAAGCACCGGUGAAGCUUGGUGGCUUGUAGGCGAUGAAACUGAUGCACUGGACCUGACGGUUGUUGUCGAAUCCAAUGAUUCUAAUAAAGGCGUUAGGGUACUCCGUCUUGCACUCUUGCACUUCCUUCAACACUUGAGCAGAGUCAGUGCAUCCAAACAAAGGAAGCUUCCACAUUGUCCAAUAACGGCCAUCGUAGUAUCCAGGUGUGCUUCCAUGCUCACGGUACACAAAUCCGUGCUAUAUAGACAUACCAUUCAAAAUCAUGAUUCACAUGGUAUAAAAUGGAUGUUUAGAUACAAGUAAACAAAAUUUUGUUUUUAUUACCUCCAACUCAAAUUCAACACAAGGAAUCCACUUGUUGCGGAGAAGGUAGUCAACUUCUUUGGCCAAUUCAACGUCAGUAAGGUCAGGAAGAUAAGAGAGAGUCUCAAACUUCUUCUUUCCAACUGGUGGCCACACCUAUAAAUCCCAUUUGCAGUUAAUAAAUAGGAAUUCCCUUUUGUAUAUACACAUUUUUCAAUCCGGUACGUUAUUAUAUACUAUUGUUCACUCGGAUUUUCACAUGUACCAGUUCCACAUAAUAAAGGACGGGCCUACAACUCUAGUGAUAUUUACCUUCAUGCAGCUAACUCUUCCUCCGUUGUUUGCAAUGGAAGUAAUAUCAGUGUUGCUUUUGCGGGUGACUGGGAAUGCAGCGGAUGACUUCAAGCCGGUGAAUGGAGCAACCAUGGUGGCUUGAGCCGGUGAGGUAGCCACAGCGGCGGAGGAGAGCAUAGAGGAAGCCAUUAUUACUUCUUUUUCUCUUUUCUAUUACUUGUUUCUCUAUUGCUUUGGUCAUCUAUAUAUAGUGAGGCCGGCAUGAGGCAUAAAGCCCUUAGAUCAAAGAGUGCGGGAUUCAUGUCUGAUGAUAACGUCGUUACCUGCCACAGGAUUAAGGAAAGGUGUUGUCUUGGGAGUCUGCAAUACCUUUUUUCACCAGACCAGACAUUGCCUUCCCGGUAAAUCGUCUAGCUCAAUUUCUGCAGCGACCUACAGACCUUCACUGGCAAGCAGUCAAGCGAAUUCUUCGCUAUCUGGCUGGUACGUCUGCUCAUGGGAUUCUCAUUCGUCCUGAUACACCAUUGAAGCUCCACGCAUACUCCGAUGCCGACUGGGCAGGCGAUGCUGACGAUUAUUGCUCCACAAACGCCUAUAUCGUGUACCUUGGGAGCAAUCCAAUUUCUUGGAGCUCAAAGAAGCAAACGGGAGUGGCUCGCUCGUCUACGGAAGCCGAAUACAGGGCCGUCGCCAAUGCAGCAGCGUAACUACUCUGGGUAUGUUCGCUUUUCACUGGGCUGCGUAUACCGUUACCAGAGAUGCCAGUGAUAUACUGUGAUAAUGUUGGUGCCACCUACCUUGCUGCCAAUCCUGUAUUUCACUCGAAGAUGAAGCAUAUAGCCCUUGAUUUUCACUUUAUCCGGCACCAUGUGCAAUCUGGAGCGCUACGAGUCUCCCACCUCUCGACUAAGGACCAGUUGGCUGAUGCUCUCACUAAACCACUUCCUCGACCGCGCUUCCAAGAACUUUUGUGCAAGAUUGGAAUCACUCAUGUUACUCCAUCUUGAGGGGGUGUAUAGGAGAUAUAUGUCAUUAGGGUCAUAACUGUAAUUAGUCAAUACCUAAUCACUUAUGUACUCUGUAUAAAUACUGUACUUGUACAUAUUAAUAAGAUAUUCAACCUCCAUUUAUACAUCUAUCAUCUUUCUAUUUUUCUCUUUAUUAUCUCCAAUAUCCAAGUCUAUACUUUUCGGAAAUCUUCAUUUUCCCCUUUUUUUUUCCCUUAUUCCUCUCAAAGCAAGUAAACCUUCAUUGAUUUGGGCUUUCAUUUCAAAAUGUUUUAUGAUUUAGGUCUUUUAAGUAUUUCCUGAAAAUGUCGUCGUUUCACUCCACGGUUAUUUUGGUGUCGUUGGAUUACGAAAUGAUGAAAAUAAUUUUUUUGUCGAAAAACUAUUUGUUGUUUACGUUUAACCAUUUUUAUUCAACCUUUUGGCUAGUUUUACGUAAUUUUUUUCUCAUUGUUUGUAAUAUUUUUUACUGGCAACUUUGUUACGAAGAGCGUUAAAGACACGAAUCAGGAGAAGACACUAUGAAUGGAGAAGUGUGUGACGAUUCUAGGGAGAGUGGGCGACGACUCUACAGGAGAGUGGGCGAUGACUCGAAAUGGGUGAGGAGUAAAGAGGGCGACACUCUACGGGAGAGUGGACGAUGACUCAUUGCUCGUUGUUAAAUUAUUUAAAAGUGUCUGUCUAACUAAAACGUUUUUUAUAUAAUUAAUUAAUUAUUCAAUACAUUUAAAAAAAACUUGUUUCUCAUUUUGUAAAUUUUAAAACUUUUUUAGAUAAUGUUUUGUUAAAAUUGAUUUUAGAAAAAUUUUAAAUAGUUUUUGGAUUAUUUUUUCUGUUAACAAAGUUUAUUUUUAAUUUUAUAUGGCAGGAAAUGCAGGAAACAUUCCCAAGGCGCUCGACAACAACGUCCCACCCAAGUUGGUGUGAAUACUGUAUCAGCGUCUGGAUUUCUUGUAUCUUCUCCCGCACCAAAUUUUCAAACCUUGGUCUCUUGGGAAGUGCCAAUUACCAUGAGCGUCUCGGAGUUAGUUCAACAACCUAGACGAAAACUUCUGACGAGACUCCAUCCUCAUGAGCGGACGGUGCGAUGUGGUAAAUUUUUCUUUAUUUAAACUACACAUUCCUUUAAUUCUUUUUCUUAGGUUCAAUUACUCAAGCAACUGAAUUAGCGAAAGUAUUUUGAAGAUGAUGUAUAUAAUGCUGAAACACGCUUAUCUGACAUACAUGGACAAGACAAGGGAUGAUCGAUGUUAAUUCUUCUAAUUGUUUGAUUCAUGAUUAUUGACUCUUAACAGUUUUUAACUAAUAUUAUUUUUAUUUCUAUUUUAAUAAGAGUUCACUUGGAAACUGUAGCCCAUGACUCGAUCAGGUGGAAAAUGCAUUCCACCAUCAUGCACAAAAAGCAUGACAACUAUCAAAUCAAUGAGUAGAAACAGAAGCGGGUUGUCGGCAAGACGCCAAAGUCAAUCAACCCAAUUGUUUGGGAGGGAUUGAAGGAGUAUUUGGCAUUAACGAAUGCACAUGCUACUUUCUAGACCAACUCAGGUAACCGGCGUAGCGACCAUCGCUUGGUCAGGUUAGGUUGUGGAGCACAAUCCUUUUUUUUUAUCCAUGUCAGCUUUGUAUACUGCUGACCUCGAACUUGUUCAAGAGCUCAAGAAGAAAAUGUACGAAUGCGUUGGAGAAGAAAAAUGAAGCAAAUACGGCUCAUAAUGUGGGACACGCCCGUCAAAUCAUAGAGGACAACAAAUUCAUGCAAGCGAUGCGUCGUUGCAAGUUUGGCGACUUUCGGUUUUUUUUUUCAAACUCUUAAAUAUUGGUUUCUUGUUAAAAAUAUUAAAGUAUUUGGUUUAAUAUUUUCGAAUUAUAAAUAUUAAAUAUUUGAAUUUUAAAAAUUAUGUCGGGAAUUCGUUGGGAUAUUCAUCAGGAAUAAUUUCUGACAAACGUGUGAUCUCGUCGGGAGAAUUCUCGACGACCAAGAUCGUCGGAAGAAUUCUCGACGAAAUUUUUGGUUAUGAAAAAAAUUCCCAACGAACCUUUGGUCAUCAGAAAUAAUUAUUACUGAUAACUUAUCGAGAAAAACUACUCACGAGUCACGACCAAGUCGCGUUGGGAAUUCUUCUGACAGAAUUCCAACAACAUUUUCCAUGACCGAUUUUGUCGAAAAUUCUUUUGGAAAGUAGUUGUGGGGAAUUCAUUGCCGUCUUUUUAAAAAUCUCCUAAGAAUUUUUUGUCAAAUGAAAUAAAACCGAUAAAAAGUGGUUAUCGGAAAUCCGUGGAGAAAGAUAAUUCCCAAUGACUUUCCGACGAAUAUAGUCAUCGAGAAUAACUUGUUUUCUUGCAGUGUAUCUUCUGUAUGGCAUCCUCCACAGAUAUGACUAUCACAGAUUUUAAGUGGACCAUCCUUUUCUUCCAGGAUUAACUACGUGUAAGUGAGAUGACAUGCAUGAACUUGAGAAAAAGUACUUUGAUAUUAUUGAAAAAUUAUAUUUUUUUGGUAAGAUGCUAAGUAAAAUUAUAAAAUUUAGAAAACAAUUCCUGUAAAACAAUUAAAAAUAAGAAUAUAGAUCCAUAUGUAUGUGUUAACUAAUAGCGGGGAUAUAUUUAUAUAAUGUAUCUUAUUUCCGAUAACAAUUUACGAAUAAUAUGUAUUAAAGGAUCUCAUACCACGUAAGUAGUGUGAAACAUCAAAUGAUGACUACCUUAUGAAAUGAUUAAAUAAAUCUAUAGUAAAAAAAAAUCUACACAAACCGUAUAGGAUACAAAAUGAUACAUUGGUGCUCUUAUAUUUGAAUAUCUGAUGAACUAAUUAACUUAAGAUGAAAUCUGUGUUUUGUAGGUAAAAUUGUUUCUUGUUCUAUAAAGCAAUUACCACUAACAUUAUCGAAACCUUUUUGUUAAGUUAUGUAGUCUGUUUUCUUAUAGGGAUAAAAAAUUAAAACCUAAUUGCCAUAAAAAUAACCAAGAAGAAGCAACGAUAUAGAAAUUACAUAUAUAUCCAUAAAUCAGACAUUUGACAAUCCGAUAGAAAAUGUCUCAGACAGAAAUCCAAAGAGGAUAAAAACAGGCAAUUGGAAGUGAAAUGAGUAUAGAUUAUUAUAUGAUUGUUUUAGAAAGGAAAUUAAGCACCGGUGAAGCUUGGUGGCUUGUAGGCGAUGAAACUGAUGCACUGGACCUGACGGUUGUUGUCGAAUCCAAUGAUUCUAAUAAAGGCGUUAGGGUACUCCGUCUUGCACUCUUGCACUUCCUUCAACACUUGAGCAGAGUCAGUGCAUCCAAACAAAGGAAGCUUCCACAUUGUCCAAUAACGGCCAUCGUAGUAUCCAGGUGUGCUUCCAUGCUCACGGUACACAAAUCCGUGCUAUAUAGACAUACCAUUCAAAAUCAUGAUUCACAUGGUAUAAAAUGGAUGUUUAGAUACAAGUAAACAAAAUUUUGUUUUUAUUACCUCCAACUCAAAUUCAACACAAGGAAUCCACUUGUUGCGGAGAAGGUAGUCAACUUCUUUGGCCAAUUCAACGUCAGUAAGGUCAGGAAGAUAAGAGAGAGUCUCAAACUUCUUCUUUCCAACUGGUGGCCACACCUAUAAAUCCCAUUUGCAGUUAAUAAAUAGGAAUUCCCUUUUGUAUAUACACAUUUUUCAAUCCGGUACGUUAUUAUAUACUAUUGUUCACUCGGAUUUUCACAUGUACCAGUUCCACAUAAUAAAGGACGGGCCUACAAC